Molecule: long non-coding RNA, 369 nt
Filed under: Chloebia gouldiae (Gouldian finch)
Lineage: Eukaryota; Metazoa; Chordata; Aves; Passeriformes; Passeridae
Description: Erythrura gouldiae (Gouldian finch) lncRNA (ENSEGOG00005017727.1)
Source: RNAcentral
AUUGGUCCAGUUGUCUUUGGCCAAGUCGUGCUCUUGCUCUGAUUUACCCUUUCCCCUCCAGUCCUCAUGAUUGCACAAGGAACUCCGGCAAAGGGAGAAAACAACUGUUAAUGAGGAGAGAAAAGGUCAAACAGAUCAAGUAAAAGUCAUCCUGCUUCCAGCACAGAGAACAAUCGAAGCUGAUCCUGCCCAAACCAGGUGUUGGACUGAGGAUGAGACCAGGCUGAAAGAAUUUUCACCACCCAGGUGGGAAGCUGGAAGUUCAGAGUAUGCAUGAAGAAUUACCUGGGAGAAAGGAAUAUCAAGAUUUUGACAGAGAACCAAAACAUGUAAGGUUUAGUAGGAGCCCUGAUGGAUUUUCCAACAGGU